Molecule: unclassified non-coding RNA, 356 nt
Filed under: fungal sp.
Lineage: Eukaryota; Fungi
Description: partial internal transcribed spacer region
Rfam family: Eukaryotic small subunit ribosomal RNA (bases 1-46)
Source: RNAcentral
AAGUCGUAACAAGGUUUCCGUAGGUGAACCUGCGGAAGGAUCAUUAACACGUAUCCAACGUUAAACCCCCCGUGACCCUGGUAAAUCAUCGCCGAACAGUUUUGAUUCAGGGACUUCGUUGGUCUGGGUAAGAAGACGCGAGGCAAGUGGUCUGGCAUCCCUCUGCUUGUUAGUGUCUGAAAGUGUCGCUAGCUCUGUAAGGAUGGCGCAGUAACGAUCGCUAGAGGCCGACACGGCCGGCGACUGGACCGCUGGGUUUUAACCCCUCUGAUCACCUUUGCAUGAAAACGGGCCUGCGCUUAAUUGUGCGGCCACCAAACUUCGAACAACUGUUAACAAUGGAUAUCUUGGUUCUC